GAAAUGCGAUAAGUAGUGUGAAUUGCAGAAUUCAGUGAAUCAUCGAAUCUUUGAACGCACAUUGCGCCCUUUGGUAUUCCUUAGGGCAUGCCUGUUCGAGCGUCAUCAAAACCUUCAAGCCCUGCUUGGUGUUGGGUGCCUGUCCCGCCUCCGCGCGCGGACUCACCUCAAAUCCAUUGGCGGCCCCCGCGUCGGCCACGAGCGCAGCAGAAACGCGAACUCGUGAGCCCGUCCGGGUGGCUCCCAGAAGCUACACCCACCCAGUUUGACCUCGGAUCAGGUAGGGAUACCCGCUGAACUUAAGC
This 305-nucleotide unclassified non-coding RNA is filed under the name plant metagenome. RNAcentral describes it as "partial contains 5.8S ribosomal RNA, internal transcribed spacer 2, and large subunit ribosomal RNA". The stretch from base 1 to 105 matches the Rfam family "5.8S ribosomal RNA", at positions 50 to 154 of the family's 154-position model. The record is from RNAcentral.